CUUGCUCCCCUGAGAUCAGCGGCGGACGGGUGAGUAACACGUGGGCAACCUGCCUGUAAGACUGGGAUAACUCCGGGAAACCGGGGCUAAUACCGGAUAAUACUGACCACCACAUGGUGGAAAGUUGAAAGAUGGCUUCUAGCUAUCACUUACAGAUGGGCCCGCGGCGCCUUAGCUAGUUGGUGAGGUAAGGGCUCACCAAGGCGACGAUCCGUAGCCGACCUGAGAGGGGAUCCGCCCCUACUGGGACUGAGAACAGGGCCCAAACUCAUACGGGAGGCAGCAGUAGGGAACCUUCGGCAAUGGGCGAAAGCCUAACCGAGCAACGCCGCGGGAGCGAUGAAGGCCUUCGGGCCGAAAAGCUCUGUGGUUAGGAAGAACAAGUACCGUUCGAAGAGGGGGUACCUUGACGGUCCCAACCAGAAAGCACGGCUAAUUACGUGCUACCGCCGCGGUAAUACUAGGUUGCAAGCUUUUCCCGAAUUAUUGGCUUAAGCUCGCCAGGCGUCUCUAAGUCUUAUUUGAAGUCCACGCUACACCCGUGAGUGCU
Molecule: ribosomal RNA, 550 nt
Filed under: Bacillus sp. (in: firmicutes)
Lineage: Bacteria; Bacillati; Bacillota; Bacilli; Caryophanales; Bacillaceae
Description: bacterial SSU rRNA
Rfam family: Bacterial small subunit ribosomal RNA
Source: RNAcentral